GAGCACACCUCAAACCACAGUCUUUGGAAAGGGAAAAGAAGGAGUCUAUGUCUGCUGGACGCUCUAAGGGAACGAGCUGGUCUUUAAUUCUGUCAGAAAGUCCAUUGUAAAAGGCAUCCAGCAGCGAGGGAGUAUUCCAACCACUGUCUGCAGCUAGGGUGCGGAAUUCGAUUGCAUAAUCUGAAACCCGGUUUCUACCUUGGCGAAGGCUGAGGAGGGACCUGGAAGCCUCCAGACCAGGAGUGGAACGGUCAAAAAUCUAUCUGAGAGUGCUGGUGAAGAGGUCCACAGAAAAACAAACAGCAGAAUCUCUAGCCCACUCAACAGUGGCCCAAGCCUCUGCACGGCCGGUGAGCAAGCCGUGGAUAUCUCCUGAGAAGUGUGUCUGACUUUACGGCACACAACAGCCUUCAGUUUGAAAAAGAAGCCCGUCAGCCGUCUUUAGACUGUUUGAUACAACGGCUGAGGCGAGGAGGAAGAGGACGGAUGAAGCUAAGAAGAGGAAACAAGAGAGUGACCGAGCAAGAAGCAGAGUGAACGUCCCUGCAGAUAUCAUUCAUGACAGAUUGUGAUAUAACAUAAGGCUGUAUCGUUUGUGUAAUCGUCGUCUCAUGUUUUGCAGCUUUACCGGGUGCAGAAAGUCGUCUCACCCGAGUUAAGUCUCAGGCUUCUUUUCAAAUGAAUUAAUAAAUCCAUCCUUACGCCA
Non-coding RNA from Labrus bergylta (ballan wrasse), 706 nucleotides. The record is from RefSeq and is a predicted model, not a curated record. Lineage: Eukaryota; Metazoa; Chordata; Actinopteri; Labriformes; Labridae.